Molecule: RNA transcript, 1877 nt
Organism: Musa acuminata AAA Group (dessert banana)
Lineage: Eukaryota; Viridiplantae; Streptophyta; Magnoliopsida; Zingiberales; Musaceae
Gene name: sufE-like protein 1, chloroplastic/mitochondrial
Exons: 3
Source: RefSeq, a predicted model, not a curated record
UCUCUCGAAGCGAUGUCGUCUCUCUCUUCUUCCUCUCUUCGCAUCCUCUCUCCCAAAUUCCCAUCAAAGCCCUCCUGUUUCCUUUGGAAAAGCCUCUCCUUUCUUCCCUCAAGAUCCCUCCUUUUAUCCUCCCCCAUCUCCUUCCAACCCCUCCCCAGAUCCUCCCCCCUCCCCCAACCCCUCCGUGCCCGGCCGCAACAGCGGGAGGAGGAGCAGACCGCCGGCGUCGACCUCUCCCUCCUCCCUCCCAAGCUCCGGGACAUCAUCGCCCUCUUCCAGUCCGUCUCCGAGCCCAAGGCCAAGUACCAGCAGCUCCUCCACUACGGGGCGCGGCUGCCCCCCCUCGACCCCGCCUUCAAGAACGAGGAGCACCGCGUGCGCGGCUGCGUCUCCCAGGUCUGGGUCCGCGCCUUCAUCGACCCCGAGGACGCCGCCGCUGUCCGCUUCGAGGCCGAUUCCGACUCCGUCCUCACCAAGGGUCUGGCCGCCCUCCUCGUGCUUGGCCUCUCGGGAUCCCCUGCCCCUGUGAUCGCCCGCGUGCCCCCUGACUUCGUUCACCUCCUCGGCCUCCGGCAGAGCCUUACGCCAUCUAGGAAUAAUGGCUUCCUCAACAUGCUCAAGCUCAUGCAGCAGAAAGCCCUCCAGCUGCAUGCAGAUGCUGCUGAUUUCAAGGAUAGUGAGGCUCUCGGAACCGAUAGAUUAGACACAAAUACAAAAGAUGAUUUUUUUGAGGGAAAAGAUCCGAUUUUGGGUGGAAAAGCCAAUGAAAUGAGCACAGGUCCCGACUCAGUUGUUAAUGGUGGCAGAAAUUCACCAGGUUAUCAUGCUUCAGAUGUAGAAGAGAGAUUGGAAGAAGAUAGGGAUGCUGUUGAUAUGACUCGGAUAAGUCCACAAGCUGCAUCCGGUGGGAGAAGGGAGAGGAUGAUCGAGAGAUUGGAGAGAGGGCUAUGUCCGGUGUCAUUAGAGGUGGAGGACAUAUCUCAUCUCCACGCAAGCCAUGCUGCAGUUAGGGGGAGCGCUGGUGGAGAGACUCAUUUCAACGUUAGGGUUAUCUCAAGGGAGUUUGAAGGGAAGAGUUUGGUGAAGAGGCACAGGCUUGUUUAUGAGCUUUUGCAAGAGGAGUUGCAGAGUGGAUUACAUGCUCUCUCUAUUGAUGCAAAGACUCCAUCUGAAGCGCAAUCUAGUUAAAGAAGAAUUAGUUGUGACAAGGUUACGCCUGGUGAAACUGAGAAGGCCCUACCUGUUAGAAAUUGCUGGCAAGGCUGAGAGAUGCUACCAGAUUAUGCAGUUCGAUACUGUUUGUCAAAGGAGGAGUGCAGCUUGCAACUGUCCACAUUGAGUUGAAUGUCUCGCCUUGAACUCAUUGAUCCUUCAAUUCCAACAAAGAAAUCACAAUCAAACUGUAUAAGAUAGACUGCUUGCACCUGCCUUGGAGGUUCUUAUGGAAGUGAAGAACCCAACCGAAGAGCAGAAGCUGCAGAAAGUUCACUUUAUUGAGAGAGAAGAUGAUUUGGAACCUAAAUUUCGACCUGAUGCUGAUUUGGAUCCAAUAUAAGUAGACGCUGUAACGAUGAUCAGUAUUUGAAACCUUCAUUGGAAGGAGCUUCUUAUUUUCUUGAAAUCUCUUUGGAGAUUUGUGUUCAUCAUCCUAGGCUAGAAAUCUACAAAUGUACAAACAGUCCAUAUGACUUGAUAAUUCAGUCAACUCAACCUAUGCAAUUGUGCAUGUAAAACAUCUUGUUCUUUUAUGUCCCAAGAUGAUGUAGACCAUCUUUUACAUUUGAGCUACUCAUUGUAUCAAUGUGGAUUAGAAUCCAGCUUUGAUGUGAAUUUUGUGGACUUGAAAUAUGAGUCAAAUGUCAUGCUUUAUAGCCUCA